RNAcentral lists this ribosomal RNA (3108 nucleotides) under Triticum aestivum (bread wheat). Its description in RNAcentral is "partial small subunit ribosomal RNA". The record is from RNAcentral. Lineage: Eukaryota; Viridiplantae; Streptophyta; Magnoliopsida; Poales; Poaceae.
AUGGCACCUGCAGGAACUCUCCGCCCUCUUUCCACACAUGGCAUCCUAUUUCUCUUCACCCACCUUCUCAUCUUCAUGUCCUCCAACACCGUCGCAAAAUCCAUCAGCAACGGGUCCGAGGUCGACCGGCAGGCCCUCCUCUCCUUCAAGGAGAGCAUCACCAGUGAUCCGCGCCAGGUCCUGUCGUCUUGGAACCACUCGAUCAGCUUCUGCAGCUGGAGAGGUGUCACCUGCGGUAUUACUCUUCCAACUCGUGUGGUCUCCCUGAACUUAAACUCUGCACAGCUCAGUGGUCAGUUAUCUCCUUGGAUAGCUAACCUUACGUCACUUGAACGGCUAGACCUUUCAGAAAAUCGCUUCUCUGGAAGCAUUCCAGAGGAGUUAGGCACACUUCGACAGCUACAGUUUAUGAUCCUUUCAGUGAACAUCCUUGAAGGUAUCAUUCCUAGAUCCCUAGGCACUAGUAGAUCUCUCAUACAUGUCAAUCUCACAGAAAACCAUCUUGUCGGUACUAUACCAGAUUUCCAUAGGUUGCCAGCCCUCCAAACUUUGAUACUGUCAGAAAACAUGCUUAUAGGUAGCAUUCCUAGAUCUUUAGGCACUAGUAGAUCUCUUAAAAUUGUCGAUCUCUCAUUUAACAUCUUCACUGGCAAUAUUCCAGAUUUCCAUAAGAUGUCAACCCUUGAAUUUCUUGAUCUUUCAAAUAACGACCUUUCUGGAAGCAUACCUUCAUCACUGGGAAAUGUUUCUUCUCUUAGCCAUAUCCAGAACCUUAGUAUGCUGAGUUUAGGUAACAACAACCUGUCGGGGCAUCUUUCGUCCGAACUCUGUAACAUCUCAUCACUCAUUUAUCUUGACUUAGCCCAGAAUGACCUAACUGGACAAGUACCAUCUUUCAUUGGAAACACAUUAACAAACCUUGAAUUGCUUGACAUGUCAGGUAACAAAUUUGAGGGAUUAAUUCCAUCAUCACUAGCAAAUGCAUCGAACCUCCAAGUGAUUGAUCUUGGAUACAACUUACUAAAUGGACGAAUCCCAUCUCUGGGAUCUUUACUUAACUUACAGCUACUAAUUCUUGAAAAUAACUUCCUAGAAGCUGAAGGCUGGGAAUUCCUUGUCUCUCUCGCAAAUUGUUCGCAGCUAGAAAUUUUGGAAAUGAGUGGGAAUGUCCUGAAUGGUAGUCUCCCUAGGUCUGUUGGGAAUCUUUCUAGAAGUUUAGUACGUUUAAACCUUGGAAGGAAUCAAAUCGUAGGCACAAUACCAGUUGAGAUUUUUAACCUUGCAAGUCUCCAAAUGCUUGCUAUGGACAAAAACUUGCUUUCAGGGGUUAUUCCUUCUAUUAUCGGGAACCUAGACCGGCUAGUUGUCCUAGACCUAUCAGGGAACAAAUUUUCUGGUCAGAUCCCAUCUGCAAUAGGUAAUCUUUCCCAGCUGAAUCAGCUUUCUCUAGACAACAACAACUUGAGUGGGAACAUCCCAGCAAGUUUAGGAAAUUGCAAGCAACUGGAUAUGCUAAGCUUAUCUUUUAACAGCCUUGAAGGACCAAUACCAAGUGAACUCACCAAUAGCACUACCCUCCUCAGUUUUGAUUUGUCAAACAACAACCUUACAGGAUCAAUACCACUACAAGUUGGUGCACUGCUUCAACUUGCCCGUCUUGAUAUUUCCGUCAACAAAUUGUCUGGUCAAGUACCAUUAUCACUUGGCCAAUGUGUCCAACUAGUGUCUCUAAGAUUGAGAAGUAACAUGCUUAAUGGAAGCAUACCUCAGUCUUUCAGUGAGCUGAAGUCCAUUGAUCAGAUUGAUCUUUCCCAAAACUACCUUGUUGGACAAAUUCCAGAGUUCUUUGCAAACAUGGUUUAUUUGCACCAACUUGAUCUGUCAGCCAACUACUUUGAAGGGCCAAUUCCAACCGGUGGCAUCUUUCAGAAAUAUAGUGCAGUAAUCUUGGAUGGUAAUGCAGGGCUGUGUGCAAAUGCAACCACCAACUUAUUCGAUUUCCCACUUUGCCCCACAACGUCAGCUGUUGAGAGCAAGCAUGCACUCCUAUUGGUAAAACUAAUUCCCCCAAUUGCUAUUGCCUUGCUCUCCUUCAUAUGCUAUGUGGUCACUGUUCUGAAGAGAAGGCAAGCAGAAACAGCUCCAUGCUACAAGGAGACAAUGAAGAAGAUUUCUUAUGGUGACAUCGUCAAAGCUACCAACUGGCUCUCUCCGGUUAACAAGAUCAGCUCAAGUCGCACCGGCUCGAUCUACAUUGGAAGGUUUGAGUUUGACACGGACUUGGUCGCCAUCAAGUUAUUCCAUCUCGAAGAGAAUGGUGCGCAUGACAGCUUCGCUACCGAGUGCGAGGUGUUGCGAAACACCCGCCAUCGCAAUCUUGUCAAAGCUGUCACCGUAUGCUCGACAGUGGACCUAGAGAACAAUGAAUUCAAGGCUAUAGUUUUCGACUUCAUGGCCAACGGAAGCUUGGACAUGUGGGUGCACCCGAAGCUACACAACAAUAGCCCCAAGAGAGUACUGAGCUUGGGUCAGAGGUUAAGAAUAGCGAUGGACGUCGCGUUGGCUCUGGAUUAUAUGCACAACCAGUUAACGCCUCCUCUAAUCCACUGUGAUUUGAAGCCCGGAAAUGUUCUUUUGGACUAUGAUAUGACCGCAAGGGUUGGUGAUUUUGGGUCAGCGAGGUUUCUCUCUUCUACCCCUGGUAGUCCAGAAGACUUGGUUGGUGUGGAAGGAACAAUUGGAUAUAUCGCACCCGAGUACUGUAUGGGAUACAAAGUUUCACCAGGAUGUGAUGUUUAUGGUUUUGGAAUCCUCCUUCUAGAAAUGCUUACCGGAAGGCGACCAACGGAUGCAAUGUUCACCGGUGGCCUGAGCCUGCACAAGCUUGUGAGCUCAGCAUUUCCAGGCAGACUCAGAGAGGUUUUAGAUCCCCAUUUGUCCCACGAGCAGCAGCGUGCGUGUGAUAGAGUGCUUAUGCGGAGAUAUAUGGUACCUCUGGUUGAAGUUGGCCUCCUGUGUUCCAUGGAAUCGCCUAAAGAUCGACCGGGAAUGGGAGAAGUUUGUGCCAGAAUUUUGUCUCUCAAAGAGGCAUUCUUUGAGUUCUGCUGA